UGUUGCCCUUUCGGGGGUACACUAGCGGCGAACGGGUGAGUAACACGUGGGUGACCUGCCCUCAGCUCUGGGAUAAGCCUGGGAAACUGGGUCUAAUAGCCGCUAGAUUAUUCCCAUUCUCCAUCUGCACAUGGUGGGUGGUGUAAAGUUUUUUCGGCUGGGGAUGGGCUCGCGGCCUAUCAUACGUUGUUGGUGGGGUGAUGGCCUACCAAGGCGACGACGGGUAGUCGGCCUGAGAGGGCGACCGGCUACCCUUGGAUUGAGACCACGGCUCAGACUCUUUACGGGAGGCAAGCAGUGGGGAAUUAUUGCGCCAUUGGCGGAAGCCCUGACGCAUCAGGACGCCGCGCUGGGGGUAUGACGGCCUUCGGGUUGUAUAACCUUUUUUGACCGGGACGAAGAGUGAAUUGACGAGAUACCGUUAGAAGAAGACACCGGCCAACUACAGUGCACAAGCUGCCGCGUUAACACGUAGGGUGCGAGCAUUUUUCCGGAAUUUUUGGGCGAUAAAGAGUUCGUUGGCGGAUGUGUCGCUUCGGCCGUGAAAACCUGGGGGUUAACUCUGGGCUUGCGGUCGAAUACGGGCCAUCACUGGAGUUCGCGCGGGGGAGACUGGAAUUCUUGUUGUAGCGGUGAAAUGCCGCAGAUAUCAGGAGGAAACCCCGGUGGCGAAGGCUGGUUCUCUGGGCCGAUUUUGCCGUUGAGGAGCGAAAAGCGUGGGGAGCGAACAGGAUUAGAUACCCUGUUAGUUCCACGCCGAUAACGUUGGGGGUUAGGUGUGGGGGCCAUUUCUCCGGUUUUUGUGCCGCAGGCUAAAGGCAUUAAGCGCCCCCGCUUGGGGGGUACGGGUCGCAAGGCUUAAAACUUCAAAGGAAUUGACGGGGGCUCGGCCCAAGCGGUGGACCAUUGUGGUUUAAUUCGAUUGCCAACGGGAAGACCCUUACCUUGGUUUUGCCAUGCCCCAGCCGCAUCCAGAGAUGGGUGUUCCCUUUGUGGUUGGUGUGCAGGUGGUGCAUGGCUUUGUUCAGCUGGUUUCGUGAGAUGUUGGGUUAAUUCCCGCAACGAGGCCAACCCUCGUUCCAGGUUGCCGGCGGGUAGUGGCGGGGAUUCAUGGGAGACGGCCGGGGUCAAUUGGGGGGAGGGUGGGGAGGACGCCAAGUCAUCAUCCCCCUAAUGCCCAGGGCUUCACCCAUGCUCCAUUGGGGGGUCCGGAGGGUUGCGGGCCCGUGAGGUGGAGGGAAUCCCUUAAAGUUUGUCCCAGUUGGAUUCGGGGUCGGCAACUCGCCCCCGUGAAGUUGGAGUCGUUAGUAAUCCCAAAUCAGCACCGCUCCGGUGAAAACUUUCCCGGCCCUGGUACCCCCCCCCCGUCCCUUCAAAAAAAUUGGUACCACCCAAAGCCGCCGCUUAAACC
This 1411-nucleotide ribosomal RNA is filed under the name Pseudonocardia sp. RNAcentral's name for it is "partial 16S ribosomal RNA". It matches the Rfam family "Bacterial small subunit ribosomal RNA", at positions 70 to 1440 of the family's 1533-position model. The record is from RNAcentral. Lineage: Bacteria; Bacillati; Actinomycetota; Actinomycetes; Pseudonocardiales; Pseudonocardiaceae.